This 2926-nucleotide ribosomal RNA is filed under the name Bacillus velezensis. RNAcentral describes it as "bacterial LSU rRNA". It matches the Rfam family "Bacterial large subunit ribosomal RNA". The record is from RNAcentral. Lineage: Bacteria; Bacillati; Bacillota; Bacilli; Caryophanales; Bacillaceae.
UUAAGUUAGAAAGGGCGCACGGUGGAUGCCUUGGCACUAGGAGCCGAUGAAGGACGGGACGAACACCGAUAUGCUUCGGGGAGCUGUAAGCAAGCUUUGAUCCGGAGAUUUCCGAAUGGGGAAACCCACCACUCGUAAUGGAGUGGUAUCCAUAUCUGAAUACAUAGGAUAUGAGAAGGCAGACCCGGGGAACUGAAACAUCUAAGUACCCGGAGGAAGAGAAAGCAAAUGCGAUUCCCUGAGUAGCGGCGAGCGAAACGGGACCAGCCCAAACCAAGAGGCUUGCCUCUUGGGGUUGUAGGACACUCUGUACGGAGUUACAAAGGAACGAGGUAGAUGAAGAGGUCUGGAAAGGCCCGCCAUAGAAGGUAACAGCCCUGUAGUCAAAACUUCGUUCUCUCCUGAGUGGAUCCUGAGUACGGCGGAACACGUGAAAUUCCGUCGGAAUCCGGGAGGACCAUCUCCCAAGGCUAAAUACUCCCUAGUGACCGAUAGUGAACCAGUACCGUGAGGGAAAGGUGAAAAGCACCCCGGAAGGGGAGUGAAAGAGAUCCUGAAACCGUGUGCCUACAAGUAGUCAGAGCCCGUUAACGGGUGAUGGCGUGCCUUUUGUAGAAUGAACCGGCGAGUUACGAUCCCGUGCAAGGUUAAGCAGAAGAUGCGGAGCCGCAGCGAAAGCGAGUCUGAAUAGGGCGAAUUGAGUACGUGGUCGUAGACCCGAAACCAGGUGAUCUACCCAUGUCCAGGGUGAAGUUCAGGUAACACUGAAUGGAGGCCCGAACCCACGCACGUUGAAAAGUGCGGGGAUGAGGUGUGGGUAGGGGUGAAAUGCCAAUCGAACCUGGAGAUAGCUGGUUCUCUCCGAAAUAGCUUUAGGGCUAGCCUCAAGGUAAGAGUCUCGGAGGUAGAGCACUGAUUGGACUAGGGGCCCCUACCGGGUUACCGAAUUCAGUCAAACUCCGAAUGCCGAUGACUUAUCCUUGGGAGUCAGACUGCGAGUGAUAAGAUCCGUAGUCGAAAGGGAAACAGCCCAGACCGCCAGCUAAGGUCCCAAAGUAUACGUUAAGUGGAAAAGGAUGUGGAGUUGCUUAGACAACCAGGAUGUUGGCUUAGAAGCAGCCACCAUUUAAAGAGUGCGUAAUAGCUCACUGGUCGAGUGACUCUGCGCCGAAAAUGUACCGGGGCUAAACGUAUCACCGAAGCUGCGGACUGUUCUUCGAACAGUGGUAGGAGAGCGUUCUAAGGGCUGUGAAGCAAGACCGGAAGGACUUGUGGAGCGCUUAGAAGUGAGAAUGCCGGUAUGAGUAGCGAAAGAGGGGUGAGAAUCCCCUCCACCGAAUGCCUAAGGUUUCCUGAGGAAGGCUCGUCCGCUCAGGGUUAGUCGGGACCUAAGCCGAGGCCGAAAGGCGUAGGCGAUGGAUAACAGGUUGAUAUUCCUGUACCACCUCCUCACCAUUUGAGCAAUGGGGGGACGCAGGAGGAUAGGGUAAGCGCGGUAUUGGAUAUCCGCGUCCAAGCAGUUAGGCUGGGAAAUAGGCAAAUCCGUUUCCCGUGAAGGCUGAGCUGUGAUGGCGAGCGAAUUAUAGUAGCGAAGUUCCUGAUUCCACACUGCCAAGAAAAGCCUCUAGCGAGGUGAGAGGUGCCCGUACCGCAAACCGACACAGGUAGGCGAGGAGAGAAUCCUAAGGUGAUCGAGAGAACUCUCGUUAAGGAACUCGGCAAAAUGACCCCGUAACUUCGGGAGAAGGGGUGCUCUGUUAGGGUGCAAGCCCGAGAGAGCCGCAGUGAAUAGGCCCAGGCGACUGUUUAGCAAAAACACAGGUCUCUGCGAAGCCGUAAGGCGAAGUAUAGGGGCUGACGCCUGCCCGGUGCUGGAAGGUUAAGAGGAGCGCUUAGCGUAAGCGAAGGUGCGAAUUGAAGCCCCAGUAAACGGCGGCCGUAACUAUAACGGUCCUAAGGUAGCGAAAUUCCUUGUCGGGUAAGUUCCGACCCGCACGAAAGGCGCAACGAUCUGGGCACUGUCUCAACGAGAGACUCGGUGAAAUUAUAGUACCUGUGAAGAUGCAGGUUACCCGCGACAGGACGGAAAGACCCCGUGGAGCUUUACUGCAGCCUGAUAUUGAAUGUUGGUACAGCUUGUACAGGAUAGGUAGGAGCCUUGGAAACCGGAGCGCCAGCUUCGGUGGAGGCAUCGGUGGGAUACUACCCUGGCUGUAUUGACCUUCUAACCCGCCGCCCUUAUCGGGCGGGGAGACAGUGUCAGGUGGGCAGUUUGACUGGGGCGGUCGCCUCCUAAAAGGUAACGGAGGCGCCCAAAGGUUCCCUCAGAAUGGUUGGAAAUCAUUCGCAGAGUGUAAAGGCACAAGGGAGCUUGACUGCGAGACCUACAAGUCGAGCAGGGACGAAAGUCGGGCUUAGUGAUCCGGUGGUUCCGCAUGGAAGGGCCAUCGCUCAACGGAUAAAAGCUACCCCGGGGAUAACAGGCUUAUCUCCCCCAAGAGUCCACAUCGACGGGGAGGUUUGGCACCUCGAUGUCGGCUCAUCGCAUCCUGGGGCUGUAGUCGGUCCCAAGGGUUGGGCUGUUCGCCCAUUAAAGCGGUACGCGAGCUGGGUUCAGAACGUCGUGAGACAGUUCGGUCCCUAUCCGUCGCGGGCGCAGGAAAUUUGAGAGGAGCUGUCCUUAGUACGAGAGGACCGGGAUGGACGCACCGCUGGUGUACCAGUUGUUCUGCCAAGGGCAUCGCUGGGUAGCUAUGUGCGGACGGGAUAAGUGCUGAAAGCAUCUAAGCAUGAAGCCCCCCUCAAGAUGAGAUUUCCCAUUCCGCAAGGAAGUAAGAUCCCUGAAAGAUGAUCAGGUUGAUAGGUCUGAGGUGGAAGUGUGGCGACACAUGGAGCUGACAGAUACUAAUCGAUCGAGGACUUAACC